Non-coding RNA from Cristinia sonorae, 99 nucleotides. NCBI's taxonomy places the organism in Eukaryota, Fungi, Basidiomycota, Agaricomycetes, Agaricales, Stephanosporaceae. The record is from the annotation of a GenBank genome assembly.
GGGCACAUGGUGUAGUUGGUUAUCACAUCCGCUUAGCAGGAUCUUCCCUGAAGAGCUGCGAUCUGCGGGGGGUGCUGGGUUCAAUUCCCAGUGUGUCCA